Molecule: ribosomal RNA, 490 nt
Filed under: uncultured bacterium
Lineage: Bacteria
Description: partial 16S ribosomal RNA
Rfam family: Bacterial small subunit ribosomal RNA
Source: RNAcentral
AUUGAACGCUGGCGGCAGGCCUAACACAUGCAAGUCGAACGGUAACAGGGAGAGGCUUGCUUCUUUGCUGUCGAGUGGCGGGGGGGGGAGUAAUGUACGUCAAACUGUCUGAUGGCGGGGGGGAACUAGUGGAGACGGUAGCGAAUACCGCAUAACGUCCCAAGGCCAAAAAGCGGGACAUUCGGGCCUCUUGCCAGCGGGAAUGACCAGAUGGGAUUAGCUAGUAGGUGGGGUAACGGCUCACCCAGGCGACGAUCCCUAGCUGGUCUGAGAGGAUGACCAGCCACACUGGAACUGAGACACGGUCCAGACUCCUACGGGAGGCAGCAGUGGGGAAUAUUGCACAAUGGGCGCAAGCCUGAUGCAGCCAUGCCGCGUGUAUGAAGAAGGCCUUCGGGUUGUAAAGUACUUUCAGCGGGGAGGAAGGGAGUAAAGUUAAUACCUUGGCUCAUUGACGUUACCCGAAGAAGAAGCACCGGCUAGCUCCGUG